RNAcentral lists this ribosomal RNA (427 nucleotides) under uncultured bacterium. RNAcentral's name for it is "bacterial SSU rRNA". It matches the Rfam family "Bacterial small subunit ribosomal RNA", at positions 355 to 774 of the family's 1533-position model. The record is from RNAcentral.
UGGGGAAUUUUGGACAAUGGGCGCAAGCCUGAUCCAGCCAUUCCGCGUGCAGGAUGAAGGCCUUCGGGUUGUAAACUGCUUUUGUACGGAACGAAAAGGUUUGGCCUAAUAAGCUGAGCUCAUGACGGUACCGUAAGAAUAAGCACCGGCUAACUACGUGCCAGCAGCCGCGGUAAUACGUAGGGUGCAAGCGUUAAUCGGAAUUACUGGGCGUAAAGCGUGCGCAGGCGGUUAUGUAAGACAGAUGUGAAAUCCCCGGGCUCAACCUGGGAACUGCAUUUGUGACUGCAUAGCUAGAGUACGGUAGAGGGGGAUGGAAUUCCGCGUGUAGCAGUGAAAUGCGUAGAUAUGCGGAGGAACACCGAUGGCGAAGGCAAUCCCCUGGGCCUGCACUGACGCUCAUGCACGAAAGCGUGGGGAGCAAACA